This is a non-coding RNA of Stegodyphus mimosarum, 73 nucleotides long. The record is from Rfam. Lineage: Eukaryota; Metazoa; Arthropoda; Arachnida; Araneae; Eresidae.
GCCUUCGUGGUGUAGUGGCCAGCAUGCUCGACGCGUGACCGAGAGGUCCAUGGUUCGAUUCCCGGCGAAGGCG